GAUGAAGAACGUAGCGAAAUGCGAUAUGUAAUGUGAAUUGCAGAAUUCAGUGAAUCAUCGAAUCUUUGAACGCACAUUGCGCCCGCUAGUAUUCUGGCGGGCAUGCCUGUCCGAGCGUCAUUUCAACCCUCAAGCCCCCGGGCUUGGUGUUGGGGAUCGGCGAGCCUCCGCGCCCGCCGUCCCCUAAAUCUAGUGGCGGUCUCGCUGUAGCUUCCUCUGCGUAGUAGCACACCUCGCACUGGGAAACAGCGCGGCCACGCCGUUAAACCCCCAACUUCUGAACGUUUGACCUCGGAUCAGGUAGGAAUACCCGCUGAACUUAAGCAUAUCAAUAAGCGGAGGA
Molecule: unclassified non-coding RNA, 343 nt
Filed under: soil metagenome
Description: partial contains 5.8S ribosomal RNA, internal transcribed spacer 2, and large subunit ribosomal RNA
Rfam family: 5.8S ribosomal RNA (bases 1-120)
Source: RNAcentral